This is a long non-coding RNA of Xenia sp. Carnegie-2017, 381 nucleotides long. RefSeq lists it as uncharacterized. The transcript has 4 exons. Lineage: Eukaryota; Metazoa; Cnidaria; Anthozoa; Malacalcyonacea; Xeniidae. The record is from RefSeq and is a predicted model, not a curated record.
GGUUUACUUGCUGAAUCACAAAGAUCUUUAAGUGGACAGUAGACUUCUCGGUAUCGAUAUCCCUUACCACAGAUCGUGUAGCACUAUAGUCAGUGAAAUACAUGGAUCUUUGCCUCGAUAUUUUGUAAGCCACAUGAUCGACACCCUUUGACGUCAUAACAGGCUCGAUAAGAGAUAUGGAUGUUGUAAAUCCUGGAGCAACGUAAAAUCCUUUCUCUUCUGGCUGUGGUUCAUGGUCAAACUCGUGAAUUGUGACACGAGCUCCGGCUGCUGACGCUAUACGAUCCAUGUAUUCUUCUUGCUCGAGGAAAAGGAAGAGACUAAGACCUACGAAACUGUAAAGUGGUGUGCAUCGUUACUUUUAUCUCAGUUUCAAUGGGA